RNAcentral lists this ribosomal RNA (429 nucleotides) under Pseudomonadota bacterium. RNAcentral describes it as "Proteobacteria bacterium partial 16S ribosomal RNA". It matches the Rfam family "Bacterial small subunit ribosomal RNA", at positions 355 to 776 of the family's 1533-position model. Lineage: Bacteria; Pseudomonadati; Pseudomonadota. The record is from RNAcentral.
UGGGGAAUAUUGGACAAUGGGCCAAAGCCUGAUCCAGCCAUGCCGCGUGUGUGAAGAAGGUCUUCGGAUUGUAAAGCACUUUAAGUUGGGAGGAAGGGCAGUAAGCGAAUACCUUGCUGUUUUGACGUUACCGACAGAAUAAGCACCGGCUAACUCUGUGCCAGCAGCCGCGGUAAUACAGAGGGUGCAAGCGUUAAUCGGAAUUACUGGGCGUAAAUCGCGCGUAGGUGGUUCGUUAAGUUGAAUGUGAAAGCCCCGGGCUCAACCUGGGAACUGCAUCCAAAACUGGCGAGCUAGAGUAGGGCAGAGGGUGGUGGAAUUGCCUGUGUAGCGGUGAAAUGCGUAGAUAUAGGAAGGAACACCAGUGGCGAAGGCGACCACCUGGGCUCAUACUGACACUGAGGUGCGAAAGCGUGGGGAGCAAACAGG